This 76-nucleotide transfer RNA is filed under the name Sulfobacillus sp. Its description in RNAcentral is "tRNA-Thr". It matches the Rfam family "tRNA". From Rfam's summary of the family: Transfer RNA (tRNA) molecules are approximately 80 nucleotides in length. Their secondary structure includes four short double-helical elements and three loops (D, anti-codon, and T loops). Further hydrogen bonds mediate the characteristic L-shaped molecular structure. tRNAs have two regions of fundamental functional importance: the anti-codon, which is responsible for specific mRNA codon recognition, and the 3' end, to which the tRNAs corresponding amino acid is attached (by aminoacyl-tRNA synthetases). tRNAs cope with the degeneracy of the genetic code in two manners: having more than one tRNA (with a specific anti-codon) for a particular amino acid; and 'wobble' base-pairing, i.e. permitting non-standard base-pairing at the 3rd anti-codon position. Lineage: Bacteria; Bacillati; Bacillota; Clostridia; Eubacteriales; Clostridiales Family XVII. Incertae Sedis. The record is from RNAcentral. RNAcentral also lists the same sequence under 2 other names.
GCUGGCGUAGCUCAAUCGGUAGAGCAACUGAUUUGUAAUCAGUAGGUUGCGGGUUCGAGUCCCAUCGCCAGCUCCA